AAAAAUUGCACCAUCUAUCACUUCGAUUCCGUUCGCUUGAGUUUAGGUCGAAAAGUGAAGAUGAAGACAAUAGUGAGACAUUUUUUUACAAGGUAUAAGAUGUGUGGCAACCGUGUCAACAGGAAAGAGCCUUUAUGGAAAUAUGUGGAGUGCGCUCAACAAAAGGGAGGCCUUGAGUGUGGAUUUUACGUAAUGCGGUACAUGUUUGAUUUAGUCUCCUGCUGCAAUGAUGUUUCAUAUUUAGAGAAGGU
Long non-coding RNA from Spinacia oleracea (spinach), 251 nucleotides. RefSeq lists it as uncharacterized. The record is from RefSeq and is a predicted model, not a curated record. The transcript is spliced from 3 exons. NCBI's taxonomy places the organism in Eukaryota, Viridiplantae, Streptophyta, Magnoliopsida, Caryophyllales, Amaranthaceae.